AACGUAGGAGGCGAGCGUUAUCCGGAAUCAUUGGGUUUAAAGGGUCCGUAGGCGGGUGCGUAAGUCAGUGGUGAAAGUCUGCAGCUUAACUGUAGAACUGCCAUUGAUACUGCACACCUUGAGUAAUUAUGAAGCGGUUAGAAUAUGUAGUGUAGCGGUGAAAUGCAUAGAUAUUACAUAGAAUACCGAUUGCGAAGGCAGAUCACUAAUAAUUUACUGACGCUGAGGGACGAAAGCGUAGGUAGCGUACAGG
Molecule: unclassified non-coding RNA, 253 nt
Filed under: uncultured Flavobacteriaceae bacterium
Lineage: Bacteria; Pseudomonadati; Bacteroidota; Flavobacteriia; Flavobacteriales; Flavobacteriaceae
Description: contains 16S-23S intergenic spacer region
Rfam family: Bacterial small subunit ribosomal RNA
Source: RNAcentral